UACGUAGGAUGCGAGCGUUAUCCGGAUUUAUUGGGUUUAAAGGGUGCGUAGGCGGAUUUUUAAGUCAGCGGUAAAAUGUCCGGGCUCAACCCGGGCCGGCCGUUGAAACUGGGGAUCUUGAGUGGGCGAGAAGUAUGCGGAAUGCGUGGUGUAGCGGUGAAAUGCAUAGAUAUCACGCAGAACUCCGAUUGCGAAGGCAGCAUACCGGCGCCCGACUGACGCUGAGGCACGAAAGCGUGGGGAUCGAACAGG
RNAcentral lists this ribosomal RNA (252 nucleotides) under uncultured bacterium. RNAcentral's name for it is "partial 16S ribosomal RNA". It matches the Rfam family "Bacterial small subunit ribosomal RNA", at positions 524 to 776 of the family's 1533-position model. The record is from RNAcentral.